GUGGCGAACGGGUGCGUAACACGUGAGAAACCUGCCCUGGAGAUCGGGAUAGCCCGAGGAAACUCGGAUUAAUACCGAAUACCUUCACCGAGUCGCAUGGCUCUAUGAAGAAAUGGUCCGCCGCUCCAGGAUGGUCUCGCGGCCUAUCAGCUUGUUGGUGAGGUAACGGCUCACCAAGGCAGCGACGGGUAGCUGGUCUGAGAGGACGAUCAGCCACACUGGGACUGAGACACGUACCAGACUCAUACGGGAGGCAGCAGCAGGGAAUAUUGCACAAUGGGCGAAAGCCUGAUGCAGCGACACCGCGUGCGGGAUGAAGGCCUUCGGGUUGUAAACCGCUUUCAGGAGGGACGAAAAUGACGGUACCUCCAGAAGAAGGCCCGGCCAACUAUGUGCCAGCAGCCGCGGUAAUACAUAGGGGCCAAACGUUGUCCGGAUUUAUUGGGCGUAAAGGGCUCGUAGGCGGCUUGGAAAGUCAAUCGUGAAAACCCGGGGCUCAACCCCGGGGACGCCGGUCGAAACUUCCAUAGCUAGGGUCCGGUAGAGGUGAGUGGAAUUCUAGGUGUAGCGGUGAAAUGCGCAGAUAUCUAGAGGAA
This 596-nucleotide ribosomal RNA is filed under the name uncultured Actinomycetes bacterium. RNAcentral describes it as "bacterial SSU rRNA". It matches the Rfam family "Bacterial small subunit ribosomal RNA", at positions 95 to 706 of the family's 1533-position model. The record is from RNAcentral. Lineage: Bacteria; Bacillati; Actinomycetota; Actinomycetes.